AAAUGGUAUUCACAGAGCUUCGUAAAUAUUCGAGAGAAAUUAUUCGAGAGAGUUUUUUUGGCGCCAAAUGAGACGUCUCGUAAAGUGCCUUCUUCUCACAUUUUAUCGAGAAUCGGUAUUCACGAAAGUUCUUUAACCGCUGAAGAGCUCGCUAGCUAACGAGAACAAUCUUCGCCUCGUUAACAGUUCGGAUUGCUCUCAGCAGUGAUUCAAAUUAAAAUAGGCUCGUUGGGACGUUAGCAUACUUUGUAAAAAUUGGCAUAGUAUCAAGGGGCCUUACUCAGCACUGGCCUACAGUAUUAUGAACACAGAUUCACAAAUGGCUACCUAUAUUGAAGCUUGCAGAAGAAAAGUCCAACAAUCUCUCCAUGUCGUAUCCGAAA
Non-coding RNA from Styela clava, 383 nucleotides. Lineage: Eukaryota; Metazoa; Chordata; Ascidiacea; Stolidobranchia; Styelidae. The record is from RefSeq and is a predicted model, not a curated record.